This 253-nucleotide ribosomal RNA is filed under the name uncultured bacterium. Its description in RNAcentral is "partial 16S ribosomal RNA". It matches the Rfam family "Bacterial small subunit ribosomal RNA", at positions 524 to 776 of the family's 1533-position model. The record is from RNAcentral.
UACGUAGGGUGCAAGCGUUGUCCGGAAUUAUUGGGCGUAAAGAGCUCGUAGGCGGUCUGUUGCGUCGGCUGUGAAAUCCCGGGGCUCAACCCCGGGCCUGCAGUGGAUACGGGCUGGCUAGAGGCAGGCAGGGGAGAACGGAAUUCCUGGUGUAGCGGUGAAAUGCGCAGAUAUCAGGAGGAACACCGGUGGCGAAGGCGGUUCUCUGGGCCUGUACUGACGCUGAGGAGCGAAAGCGUGGGGAGCGAACAGG